RNAcentral lists this long non-coding RNA (861 nucleotides) under Ananas comosus (pineapple). RNAcentral's name for it is "long non-coding RNA (ACOM_LNC044624)". The record is from RNAcentral. Lineage: Eukaryota; Viridiplantae; Streptophyta; Magnoliopsida; Poales; Bromeliaceae.
UCGAACUCCUAUAUGACCCCAUCCUACCCUCGAUCACUCAUUUCUCGAGAAGAAGUAAAAAUUCUGUAAAUUUUUACUAUAACUUUUUCCCACCGCAUCAGUGGGUUCCUACACUAUAUACAUGAUUGCUGAACUGGAAAUAUAACUAAAAUAACUCUAUUUCCGAUAUAGAGACAACUCAUUCUUUUUUGCAGAAUUCAUGAAAAUUCAGACACCGGGUGGAGUUCAAUAUCUAAAUUUCUUUCCACAGCUUUAUUUAUUUAUUUGUUUCUGCGAAAUCUACCCACUACAACGCGUGGAUGCCUUCACUAGUAAAAUAUAAUAUUAUAACAAAUUUUAUUUCGCUGCAACGCGUGGAUGCCUUCGCUAGUAAAAUAUAAUAUUAUAACAAAUUUUUAUUAUACAUAAUAUAUUAAUUUUGUUAAAAUAAGUUAUAUUUUUUAUAUGAAUGGAAAUUAGUAAAAUUUUUAAGAGAAAGUUCAUAUAUUUUAAGAAAAAAAUUCUUUACCACACAUAAUUUAUUUAGGGUUAAUUGCAUACACAUCCCUACAAAUAUGGUGAAUUGCAGAUAUAUCCCUGCAAAGCUCAACUUUUAUAAGUUAUCCCUGAAAAGUCCCAAUAUAUUCAGAUAUGUCCCUACCGUUAGAGUUCGUUAGAAAAAUUUCGUUAACUACAGUUAAAAUACUUUACCAGGAUUAAUUAAUAAUGUGAAUUGACAAUUUUGCUCUUCUUCUUCUUCCUCUUCAUCUCCUGCUUCUUCUUCUUUCUCUUCUUCUCCAUAUCCUCCUUUUCCUCCUCCUUUUCUCCUCCUUCUUCAUCUUCUUCUUCGUCAUUGUCGAUGAUCCGAUCGUCAUCGUCGUU